This 429-nucleotide ribosomal RNA is filed under the name Chloroflexota bacterium. RNAcentral's name for it is "Chloroflexi bacterium partial 16S ribosomal RNA". It matches the Rfam family "Bacterial small subunit ribosomal RNA", at positions 355 to 776 of the family's 1533-position model. The record is from RNAcentral. Lineage: Bacteria; Bacillati; Chloroflexota.
UGGGGAAUAUUGCACAAUGGGCGCAAGCCUGAUGCAGCCAUGCCGCGUGUGUGAAGAAGGCCUUCGGGUUGUAAAGCACUUUCAGCGGGGAGGAAGGCGGUGAGGUUAAUAACCUCAUCGAUUGACGUUACCCGCAGAAGAAGCACCGGCUAACUCCGUGCCAGCAGCCGCGGUAAUACGGAGGGUGCAAGCGUUAAUCGGAAUUACUGGGCGUAAAGCGCACGCAGGCGGUCUGUCAAGUCGGAUGUGAAAUCCCCGGGCUCAACCUGGGAACUGCAUUCGAAAAUGGCAGGCUAGAGUCUUGUAGAGGGGGGUAGAAUUCCAGGUGUAGCGGUGAAAUGCGUAGAGAUCUGGGGGAAUACCGGUGGCGAAGGCGGCCCCCUGGACAAAGACUGACGCUCAGGUGCGAAAGCGUGGGGGGCAAACAGG